AUGACAAUGGUGGAUUUCAACAAUCUUGGUUACCUUGACGAACCAUUCGUCCUUGCCAAAGAUGUCGCUCAGGUUUUUUAUUUGAAGGACAUGAGUAGCAAACCGAGGAAACGGAAAGAUAAGAAAACGAUCAGUACAUCAUGCGAUGAUCCAAAGCGCCACAUUGUUCUUUCAGGGAAAAGAAACAUCGUGGGAGUGGAGGACAAGACAGACAUGUCAGAAGAUUAUAAUAUGUUUGGUGAAAUUCCGCCCUUCAAAGUGAACACCGACCCAAGCAUUAAGUUAAAUGAUGAGGAUGCUCCAUGGAUACGGCACAACCGUAAGCAAGCAGGGACGUCCAAGGGAAGAAUUGAUGUGUAA
RNAcentral lists this ribosomal RNA (360 nucleotides) under Triticum aestivum (bread wheat). Its description in RNAcentral is "partial small subunit ribosomal RNA". The record is from RNAcentral. Lineage: Eukaryota; Viridiplantae; Streptophyta; Magnoliopsida; Poales; Poaceae.